RNAcentral lists this ribosomal RNA (544 nucleotides) under uncultured Glomeromycotina. Its description in RNAcentral is "SSU rRNA". It matches the Rfam family "Eukaryotic small subunit ribosomal RNA", at positions 548 to 1098 of the family's 1831-position model. Lineage: Eukaryota; Fungi; Glomeromycota. The record is from RNAcentral.
UUGGAGGGCAAGUCUGGUGCCAGCAGCCGCGGUAAUUCCAGCUCCAAUAGCGUAUAUUAAAGUUGUUGCAGUUAAAAAGCUCGUAGUUGAAUUUCGGGGUUCUACCGUUGGUCGGGCUUUGUCUGUACUGGUGUGUAGAAUUUCUACCUUCUGGGGAACCAUCAUGCUAUUAAUUUAGCGUGGUGGGAAACCAGGACCUUUACCUUGAAAAAAUUAGUGUGUUCAAAGCAGGCUUAUGUCUGAAUACAUUAGCGUGGAAUAAUAGAAUAGGACGGUGGUCCUGUUUUGUUGGUUUCUGAAUCACCGUAAUGAUUAAUAGGGAUAGUUGGGGGUAUUAGUAUUCAAUUGUCAGAGGUGAAAUUCUUGGAUUUAUUGAAGACUAACUUCUGCGAAAGCAUUUGCCAAGGAUGUUUUCAUUAAUCAAGAACGAAAGUUAGGGGAUCGAAGACGAUCAGAUACCGUCGUAGUCUUAACCAUAAACUAUGCCGACUAGGGAUCGGACGAUGUUAAUUUUUCUUGACUCGUUCGGCGCCUUACGGGAAAC